UACAGAGGGUGCAAGCGUUAAUCGGAAUUACUGGGCGUAAAGCGUACGCAGGCGGUUUUUUAAGUCAGAUGUGAAAGCCCCGGGCUCAACCUGGGAAUUGCAUUUGAAACUGGGGAACUAGAGUGUGUGAGAGGGGGGUAGAAUUCCAAGUGUAGCGGUGAAAUGCGUAGAGAUUUGGAGGAAUACCAGUGGCGAAGGCGGCCCCCUGGCACAACACUGACGCUCAGGUGCGAAAGCGUGGGGAGCAAACAGG
This 253-nucleotide ribosomal RNA is filed under the name uncultured bacterium. RNAcentral's name for it is "partial 16S ribosomal RNA". It matches the Rfam family "Bacterial small subunit ribosomal RNA", at positions 524 to 776 of the family's 1533-position model. The record is from RNAcentral.